AUGGGAGCUUUCCCUUCACCGCUACCAUCGGGGUGGUCCACAGGGUUCAUAACUACCCCUCUUACUACGGGGCGUUUACCUAGCCAACACUUAGAUCCGGCUCUACCCAAACUUUUUUGGUUCACCCCAACAUUACCCACUUGUCCGACUGUUGCCAAGCAGUUUUGGGAUACUAAACGGACCUCCCUAGAUGGUAAUCUUAAAGUGGUCGAUUUACCCUCUUUUGCAAUGAGUUUCGCUACAACACCUGCUGCUCUAGCUAAUUGCCCACCCCUUCCACGUGUGAUUUCUAUGUUAUGCAUGGCCGUGCCUAAGGGCAUAUUGAUUGAAGUAGAUUCUUCUUUUCUCUCAAAAAACCCUUCCCAAACUGUACAAGCUUCUUCCAAAGCAUACGGCUUUCUAGAUGUAUAUGGCGAUCUCUAG
Molecule: ribosomal RNA, 423 nt
Filed under: Triticum aestivum (bread wheat)
Lineage: Eukaryota; Viridiplantae; Streptophyta; Magnoliopsida; Poales; Poaceae
Description: partial small subunit ribosomal RNA
Source: RNAcentral